This 301-nucleotide ribosomal RNA is filed under the name uncultured bacterium. Its description in RNAcentral is "partial 16S ribosomal RNA". It matches the Rfam family "Bacterial small subunit ribosomal RNA", at positions 509 to 807 of the family's 1533-position model. The record is from RNAcentral.
CAGUAGCCGCGGGAAUACGUAGGUGGCAAGCGUUGUCCGGAAUUAUUGGGCGUAAAGGGCUCGCAGGCGGUUUCUUAAGUCUGAUGUGAAAGCCCCCGGCUCAACCGGGGAGGGUCAUUGGAAACUGGGAAACUUGAGUGCAGAAGAGGAGAGUGGAAUUCCUAGUGUAGCGGUGAAAUGCGUAGAGAUUAGGAGGAACACCAGUGGCGAAGGCGGCUUUUUGGCCUGUAACUGACACUGAGGCGCGAAAGCGUGGGGAGCAAACAGGAUUAGAUACCCCAGUAGUCCCUGUCUCUUAUAC